GUAGGUGGCAAGCGUUGUCCGGAAUUAUUGGGCGUAAAGCGCGCGCAGGUGGUUUCUUAAGUCUGAUGUGAAAGCCCACGGGCUCAACCGUGGAGGGUCAUUGGAAACUGGGGAACUUGAGUGCAGAAGAGGAAAGUGGAAUUCCACGUGUAGCGGUGAAAUGCGUAGAGAUGUGGAGGAACACCAGUGGCGAAGGCGACUUUCUGGUCUGUAACUGACACUGAGGCGCGAAAGCGUGGGGAGCAAACAGGAUUAGAUACCCUGGUAGUCCACGCCGUAAACGAUGAGUGCUAAGUGUUAGGGGGUUUCCGCCCCUUAGUGCUGCAGCUAACGCAUUAAGCACUCCGCCUGGGGAGUACGGCCGCAAGGCUG
Molecule: ribosomal RNA, 372 nt
Filed under: uncultured organism
Description: partial 16S ribosomal RNA
Rfam family: Bacterial small subunit ribosomal RNA
Source: RNAcentral